GCCCCAUGUGGGAUUACAAACUUGCUGGAAAUGGAUGAGAAACCUUCUGCUCUGCUGGAGUUUAUCUUGAGUGUGCCUUAAAAUUCCAUUUCAUGGAGAACUGUGCGUGGUUGAAUUUUGAUUGAUUACUCAAUUAACUGAUGUAUUGGUAGAGUGAUUAAGAAAGAAGACUUUGGGAUCAGACCAACCUGGUUUUGAAUUCAAGCUCAGCAACUUACUAGCUGCAGUUAUGGCAUUAACCACCCAGUUGUUACCUACUUCUAGAUGAAAGCUCAAUUUUCCUACAUAAUUAAGAGUUUGGAAUUCGGGCAAUAUCAAGAACCACAUCUGUCCUGAAAUCAAUUAUCUCUGUUUGUGGCCAUGGUCCAUGCCUCCUUUACUACAUCAGAUCCACCUAGUCCCUGGACUAAUCAGAAACACAAGAAAUAAGAAGACCAUUUUGAGAAGAACAGAGAGUAGCCUUAAGAAAAUCCCUGUCGCAAGCACUCUGGGAUUUGGACUCAAAUGCUAAUUAUACAGAACCACUUGGGUGCCCAGCUGCUGUCCAUUCUCUACACUUAUCCCACCUGAUGGAAGGCUGUUAAGAAAAACAUCACUGCAAUGCCUAAUAAACAGACAUGGGUCCCAGACCCAAUAAGAGUGAAACCAUCCCCCUAUUUAAAUGAAAUUAUGGCUGAUGAGAAAGACAAAUUAAUUUCUCUGUCCCUAGUAUUACACAAAACUUUGGAUGCUGCCAUUGUUACAAUUUUAUUUUCCCCAGGAGCUCAGAGUCCCACCUUCAUUCUUUUUGUUUAAUGCUUAAGCUUGCCUGUCCACCUAUGGAAGACUAGAAUGAGCAAAGACCAUGUAUUCAAUGAUCUGUAAAUCUAACAGGAAACAAUAUAAUAAAUAUAUUGUGUUUGCUAACCAAA
RNAcentral lists this long non-coding RNA (911 nucleotides) under Homo sapiens (human). RNAcentral describes it as "novel transcript". Lineage: Eukaryota; Metazoa; Chordata; Mammalia; Primates; Hominidae. The record is from RNAcentral.